CGUGAGCAACCUGCCCCAGACUCUGGGAUAACUCCGGGAAACCGGUGCUAAUACCGGAUAUGUGACGCUUGGGCAUCUGAUGCGUCUGGAAAGAUUUAUUGGUCUGGGAUGGGCUCGCGGCCUAUCAGCUUGUUGGUGGGGUAAUGGCCUACCAAGGCGACGACGGGUAGCCGGCCUGAGAGGGCGACCGGCCACACUGGGACUGAGACACGGCCCAGACUCCUACGGGAGGCAGCAGUGGGGAAUAUUGCGCAAUGGGCGAAAGCCUGACGCAGCGACGCCGCGUGAGGGAUGAAGGCCUUCGGGUUGUAAACCUCUUUCAGCAGGGAAGAAGCGAAAGUGACGGUACCUGCAGAAGAAGCACCGGCUAACUACGUGCCAGCAGCCGCGGUAAUACGUAGGGUGCAAGCGUUGUCCGGAAUUAUUGGGCGUAAAGAGCUCGUAGGUGGUUUGUCGCGUCUGCUGUGAAAACUCGGGGCUUAACU
Molecule: ribosomal RNA, 485 nt
Filed under: uncultured Kineosporiaceae bacterium
Lineage: Bacteria; Bacillati; Actinomycetota; Actinomycetes; Kineosporiales; Kineosporiaceae
Description: bacterial SSU rRNA
Rfam family: Bacterial small subunit ribosomal RNA
Source: RNAcentral